Long non-coding RNA from Erinaceus europaeus (western European hedgehog), 1387 nucleotides. RefSeq lists it as uncharacterized. NCBI's taxonomy places the organism in Eukaryota, Metazoa, Chordata, Mammalia, Eulipotyphla, Erinaceidae. The transcript is spliced from 3 exons. The record is from RefSeq and is a predicted model, not a curated record.
GAAAAAAAGAAAGAAAGACACACACCCCCAUCACCUCUGCUCCCUCCAUUCCCAUGGAGAUUAGAGCAUCCUGAGCUCUAAUCAAGACCAUCAAAGGCUGGGCACACACAGCUGGGGAGUCUGAAGAGCAGUCAGGACCUCUGUGUCUGCACCAAGAUCUGUGCCCAAGCCCCUGGUCCUUGGGGAGUGUAUAAGCUGACGCUGACUUCUCCAAAAGGAUCCCUAGAAAGAAGCUUCCCACACCUUGGUGUCUCCAAGCCUGGCAGAAAGGUCCUGGUUCUGGCAGUGUUGGAACAUUCAUCAGCCUGAGACUCCUGGGAACUGCUGAGUGAGAGGUGGGGCAGGAGAAGCAGGAUGGUGAGAAACAGCCUGCAGUUCAGGGGAUGGAGGGAAGGUGCCUUUAAAAAGAGGGCAGGAGAGUAGGAGUGGAGAAGAGCAGUGACUCAGGAAUCACAGGCAGAGCUGGGCACUGAAUGCAAGGCCUCUGCUGCUUCCCAUGGAGGGUGUCAGGAAGAGAAGAAUCCAGUAAAUGACACAAUAAAUGAUUGAGCUUUCCAUCUAAGUGGUAUUUUCUUUGACUUUAGGACACUGGUCAUGAAGUGAACCAGAAUUUUUUUUACCCCAAAUCUUGAGCAUGAGUGAUGCUACUGAAGGAGCUGCCCUGCUCUCUUGCUCAAUUCUUCACUUUUUUUUUUUUAGGGAGAAUGAGAUGUGAGAGAUAUUGUAGCAUAGCUCUACCAUGCAUGGAGCUUCCCAAGUGCCAUCCAUGAUGCUUCCAUGUUGUAGAGGGUUGGGUUUGCUAUCCAAGCUUCAUGUGUGAUGUUUUCAUUGACUUUCCUUAUUAACAGCAACAUUCAGCGUGUGUUCCAUUUUAAAAACCAAAAGUGAAAAUGGAAAAACAAGUUAAUUCUAGAAAAAGCAUCCUAGAGUGAUGGUUUGUUUUUGUCCUUUUUCUUUUUUUUUUUUUUUUUGUUCCUUCCUUUUCUUUCUUUUUCUUUCACUCUUCACCCACCUCUCCUCCUCUUUCUUCUUCUUCUUCUUUAAUUAAUGCCUGUAUGUUUGUUAUUCAGAGUAGUGCUUGGGCAAUGGCAUUAUAAAUGAGAGUGUUGGCUGGUGUAUUGCACCAAAGUAAAGGGUUCUGAGAGAGUUGGGAGAGAGUGACUUUCAGAUUCUAUUGCAUAAUGGUGGAGGAGGACCUACAUGAGAGGUUAGAAUGUCUUGCAGAAAACUGAGAAAUUUUACACAUGUACAAACAACUAUAUUUAUUGUUUACUGUAAACCAUUAAUUGAAAGAAGUAUUUAGAGAAUAGGAAUAAAAACUAGCAAGUAACAGAAAAAAAGGAUUUUGCUUCACUUGGUUUAGCAUUAUUGCCAUCAUUUACCUAUU